UAACCUACCCAUCAGAGGGGGAUAACACUUGGAAACAGGUGCUAAUACCGCAUAACAGUUUAUGCCACAUGGCAUAAGAGUGAAAGGCGCUUUCGGGUGUCGCUGAUGGAUGGACCCGCGGUGCAUUAGCUAGUUGGUGAGGUAACGGCUCACCAAGGCCACGAUGCAUAGCCGACCUGAGAGGGUGAUCGGCCACACUGGGACUGAGACACGGCCCAG
Molecule: ribosomal RNA, 219 nt
Filed under: uncultured bacterium
Lineage: Bacteria
Description: partial 16S ribosomal RNA
Rfam family: Bacterial small subunit ribosomal RNA
Source: RNAcentral